This 151-nucleotide unclassified non-coding RNA is filed under the name uncultured Hypocreales. RNAcentral describes it as "sequence contains ITS1". Lineage: Eukaryota; Fungi; Ascomycota; Sordariomycetes; Hypocreales. The record is from RNAcentral.
GCGAGUUUCAAACUCCCAACCCUCGUGGACAUACCAAACGUUGCUUCGGCGGGGCGUCCCAAAGGCGCAGCCUCUCUCGGGAGGCACCCGCCGGCCGCACGCACCAAACUCUGUUUUACAGUCGUAUUCUGAGUGGACUACAAAUAAGUCA